CGGGUGAGUAACACGUGGGUAACCUGCCCAUAAGACUGGGAUAACUCCGGGAAACCGGGGCUAAUACCGGAUAACAUUUUGAACUGCAUGGUUCGAAAUUGAAAGGCGGCUUCGGCUGUCACUUAUGGAUGGACCCGCGUCGCAUUAGCUAGUUGGUGAGGUAACGGCUCACCAAGGCAACGAUGCGUAGCCGACCUGAGAGGGUGAUCGGCCACACUGGGACUGAGACACGGCCCAGACUCCUACGGGAGGCAGCAGUAGGGAAUCUUCCGCAAUGGACGAAAGUCUGACGGAGCAACGCCGCGUGAGUGAUGAAGGCUUUCGGGUCGUAAAACUCUGUUGUUAGGGAAGAACAAGUGCUAGUUGAAUAAGCUGGCACCUUGACGGUACCUAACCAGAAAGCCACGGCUAACUACGUGCCAGCAGCCGCGGUAAUACGUAGGUGGCAAGCGUUAUCCGGAAUUAUUGGGCGUAAAGCGCGCGCAGGUGGUUUCUUAAGUCUGAUGUGAAAGCCCACGGCUCAACCGUGGAGGGUCAUUGGAAACUGGGAGACUUGAGUGCAGAAGAGGAAAGUGGAAUUCCAUGUGUAGCGGUGAAAUGCGUAGAGAUAUGGAGGAACACCAGUGGCGAAGGCGACUUUCUGGUCUGUAACUGACACUGAGGCGCGAAAGCGUGGGGAGCAAACAGGAUUAGAUAACCUGGUAGUCCACGCCGUAAACGAUGAGUGCUAAGUGUUAGAGGGUUUCCGCCCUUUAGUGCUGAAGUUAACGCAUUAAGCACUCCGCCUGGGGAGUACGGCCGCAAGGCUGAAACUCAAAGGAAUUGACGGGGGCCCGCACAAG
Molecule: ribosomal RNA, 842 nt
Filed under: Bacillus sp. SO5.16
Lineage: Bacteria; Bacillati; Bacillota; Bacilli; Caryophanales; Bacillaceae
Description: bacterial SSU rRNA
Rfam family: Bacterial small subunit ribosomal RNA
Source: RNAcentral